AUACGGAGGGUGCAAGCGUUGUUCGGAAUUACUGGGCGUAAAGCGCGCGUAGGCGGUCUGUUAUGUCAGAUGUGAAAGUCCUCGGCUCAACCGGGGAAGUGCAUUUGAAACUGGCAGACUUGAGUAUUGGAGGGGGUAGUGGAAUUCCCGGUGUAGAGGUGAAAUUCGUAGAUAUCGGGAGGAAUACCGGUGGCGAAGGCGACUACCUGGCCAAAUACUGACGCUGAGGUGCGAAAGCGUGGGGAGCAAACAGGAUUAGAUACCCUUGUAGUCC
Molecule: ribosomal RNA, 274 nt
Filed under: uncultured bacterium
Lineage: Bacteria
Description: partial 16S ribosomal RNA
Rfam family: Bacterial small subunit ribosomal RNA
Source: RNAcentral